RNAcentral lists this ribosomal RNA (651 nucleotides) under uncultured bacterium. RNAcentral's name for it is "bacterial SSU rRNA". It matches the Rfam family "Bacterial small subunit ribosomal RNA", at positions 391 to 1021 of the family's 1533-position model. The record is from RNAcentral.
UCGACGCCGCUGGGUGAUGAACGGCCUUCGGGUCGUAAAGCCCUGUCGGGAGGGUACGAAAUCUGCCGACCUAAUCACGUCGGUGACUUGACGGUACCUCCAAAGGAAUGCACCGGUAACUCCGUGCCACGCAGCCGCGGUAAUACGGAGGGUGCGAGCGUUUGUUCGGAUCACUGGGCGUACAAGCGCGUGUAGGCGGCCCUUUAAGUCCGAUGUUGAAAGCCGGGGCUCACCCCCCGGAAGUGCAUUGGAUACUGAAGGGCUGGAGUAUCCGGGAGGAGGGUGGAACUUCCUGGUGUAGCGGUGAAAUGCGUAGAUAUCAGGUAGGACACCUGUGGCGACAGGCGGCCCUCUGGACGGAUACUGACGCUGAGACGCUGAAGCGUGGGGAGCACAACAGGAUUAGAUACCCUGGUAGUCCACGCUGUAAACUGUGGGCACUAGGUGCUUCGGGGUAUUGACCCCCCGAGUGCCGCAGCUAACGCAUUAAGUGCCCCGCCUCGGGGACUACGGCCGCAAGGCUAAAACUCAAAGGAAUUUACGGGGGCCCGCACCAAGCGGUGGAGCAUGUGGUUUAAUUCGACGCAACGCGAAGAACCUUACCUGCGGCUAGACAACAUCGGACAGCCUCAGAAAUGAGGUUUCCCCGCC